This 468-nucleotide ribosomal RNA is filed under the name uncultured bacterium. RNAcentral's name for it is "partial 16S ribosomal RNA". It matches the Rfam family "Bacterial small subunit ribosomal RNA", at positions 28 to 507 of the family's 1533-position model. The record is from RNAcentral.
GACGAACGCUGGCGGCGUGCUUAACACAUGCAAGUCGAACGGAAAGGCCCUGCUUUUGUGGGGUGCUCGAGUGGCGAACGGGUGAGUAACACGUGAGUAACCUGCCCUUGACUUUGGGAUAACUUCAGGAAACUGGGGCUAAUACCGGAUAGGAGCCCCUGCUGCAUGGUGGGGGUUGGAAAGUUUCGGCGGUUGGGGAUGGACUCGCGGCUUAUCAGCUUGUUGGUGGGGUAGUGGCUUACCAAGGCUUUGACGGGUAGCCGGCCUGAGAGGGUGACCGGCCACAUUGGGACUGAGAUACGGCCCAGACUCCUACGGGAGGCAGCAGUGGGGAAUAUUGCACAAUGGGCGGAAGCCUGAUGCAGCGACGCCGCGUGCGGGAUGACGGCCUUCGGGUUGUAAACCGCUUUCGCCUGUGACGAAGCGUGAGUGACGGUAAUGGGUAAAGAAGCACCGGCUAACUACGUG